RNAcentral lists this non-coding RNA (27 nucleotides) under Mus musculus (house mouse). Lineage: Eukaryota; Metazoa; Chordata; Mammalia; Rodentia; Muridae. The record is from RNAcentral.
UAGUUGCCCUGUAACUCAAAUAGUACA